Salmo salar (Atlantic salmon) is the source of this 93-nucleotide non-coding RNA. The record is from Rfam. Lineage: Eukaryota; Metazoa; Chordata; Actinopteri; Salmoniformes; Salmonidae.
UUCCCUGUGGCUCAGUUGGUAGAGCUUGGUGUUUGCAACGCCAGCAUGGUGUGUGCAACGCCAGGGUUGUGGGUUCGAUUCCCACGGGGGACC